UGGGAUUAGAUACCCCACUAUGCUCAGCCGUAAACUUUAAAUUACACCAAAAUCGCCGGGGAACUACGAGCAAAGCUUAAAACCCAAAGGACUUGACGGUACCCCACAUCCACCUAGAGGAGCCUGUCCUAUAAUCGAUACCCCCCGCUUAACCUCACCACUUUUAGCCAAAUCAGCCUGUAUACCUCCGUCGUCAGCUUACCACGUGAGCGCAACUCAGUGAGCCCAAUGCCCACACGCCAAUACGUCAGGUCAAGGUGCAGCAAAUAAAGUGGAAAGAGAUGGGCUACACUCUCUAACAUAGAAAACACAGAAGACUACCUAUGAAACCUAGUCUAAAGGCGGAUUUAGAAGUAAAAAGAAAGCACGAGCGUUCUUUUUAACACGGCACCGGGGUGUGUACACACCGCC
RNAcentral lists this ribosomal RNA (411 nucleotides) under Hyalinobatrachium orientale (eastern glass frog). RNAcentral describes it as "partial 12S ribosomal RNA". It matches the Rfam family "Bacterial small subunit ribosomal RNA", at positions 773 to 1394 of the family's 1533-position model. Lineage: Eukaryota; Metazoa; Chordata; Amphibia; Anura; Centrolenidae. The record is from RNAcentral.